RNAcentral lists this ribosomal RNA (253 nucleotides) under uncultured bacterium. RNAcentral describes it as "partial 16S ribosomal RNA". It matches the Rfam family "Bacterial small subunit ribosomal RNA", at positions 524 to 776 of the family's 1533-position model. The record is from RNAcentral.
UACGGGGGGUGCGAGCGUUGUUCGGAAUCACUGGGCGUAAAGCGCACGUAGGCGGAUCGUUUAGUCAGGGGUGAAAUCCCGGAGCUCAACUUCGGAACUGCCUUUGAUACUGGCGAUCUCGAGUCCGAUAGAGGUGGGUGGAAUUCCUAGUGUAGAGGUGAAAUUCGUAGAUAUUAGGAAGAACACCGGUGGCGAAGGCGGCCCACUGGAUCGGUACUGACGCUGAGGUGCGAAAGCGUGGGGAGCAAACAGG